ACCUUGUGCCUGAAACAAAGGCGCACACCUAGAUGUAUAAGGUGCUAGGAUUCAAGCCUAGUGAGCCUUGAGCCUGAGACACACCUUUAAUAACUAUGAACAAAAUUGCAUAUUACAAAUUUACCAUCUCCAAAUUCAUCUCCCUACCUCUCAAUCCUGCAAUGGCUUUGAUGAACUCAUUCAGCCAACUUGUUAACCUAUGAAGCCUUUACAAUUCAACUCAAAAAAGGCAAAUCUUGGGUUCUCCCUGUUGUGAUUACCUAUGGACAAUGGACAUUCACUUAAAAAAUAGACAAUUGUUGGCUUGAUGCUAGAUUCACUCCUAGUCUUUCAAAGUGUUAAAAUAUGAUCUAUCCAUCAACUUAUUUGAAGGACUCAGAUUACUUAGACCAAAACUACACUUCUUAUUCCACUCUUGCAAAGAAAGCACAACCACCAACUAAGAUAAUUUGGCUCAUCAAGAAAAGUGAAAUAAAUGUAAUUGGAUCAUAAUUCACAGCACUUUAAGUGAAAGAGGACGUGAUCUCUUCCAUAGGAAUCUUGUAAAAGUAAAGGAUAGGAAAAAGAAAAUGUCAGAAACAAAAAGGAAGAACAAAAAUAUGUAUAAGAUUAGCUAAUAUGCACUGAAGAAUGAAAUUUAGAUCAGAAAUUAGAUCCAAUAUGACAUUAAAUGACCACGAUAUCAAUGAAAAACCUUUUAGAUAAAAAUUAACAAUGCAGGAUCAUCACCAGUGCAACCAAUCUAAUAGAAAACAUACCAAUAUUUGCAGUA
This 772-nucleotide unclassified non-coding RNA is filed under the name Hevea brasiliensis (rubber tree). Lineage: Eukaryota; Viridiplantae; Streptophyta; Magnoliopsida; Malpighiales; Euphorbiaceae. The record is from RNAcentral.